RNAcentral lists this ribosomal RNA (446 nucleotides) under uncultured bacterium. Its description in RNAcentral is "partial 16S ribosomal RNA". It matches the Rfam family "Bacterial small subunit ribosomal RNA", at positions 338 to 795 of the family's 1533-position model. The record is from RNAcentral.
CCUACGGGUGGCAGCAGUGGGGAAUAUUGCACAAUGGGGGAAACCCUGAUGCAGCGACGCCGCGUGGGGGAAUGAAGGUCUUCGGAUUGUAAACCCCUGUCAUGUGGGAGCAAAUUAAAAAGAUAGUACCACAAGAGGAAGAGACGGCUAACUCUGUGCCAGCAGCCGCGGUAAUACAGAGGUCUCAAGCGUUGUUCGGAAUCACUGGGCGUAAAGCGUGCGUAGGCUGUUUCGUAAGUCGUGUGUGAAAGGCGCGGGCUCAACCCGCGGACGGCACAUGAUACUGCGAGACUAGAGUAAUGGAGGGGGAACCGGAAUUCUCGGUGUAGCAGUGAAAUGCGUAGAUAUCGAGAGGAACACUCGUGGCGAAGGCGGGUUCCUGGACAUUAACUGACGCUGAGGCUCGAAAGUGUGGGGAGCAAACAGGAUUAGAUACCCUAGUAGUC